RNAcentral lists this ribosomal RNA (483 nucleotides) under uncultured bacterium. RNAcentral describes it as "bacterial SSU rRNA". It matches the Rfam family "Bacterial small subunit ribosomal RNA", at positions 30 to 507 of the family's 1533-position model. The record is from RNAcentral.
CGAACGUUGGCAGUGUAGCUUAAGCAUGCAAGUCAACGGCAGCAAGGCCAUGUAGCAAUAUAUGGUGCUGGCGAGUGGCGAACUGGUGAGUAACACGUAAGAAUCUGCCCUAAGGUGGGGGAGUAACUCAUGGAAACAUGAGCUAAUACCGCAUAAUGCGAAGCUUAUAGAGAUAUAAGUUUGUUAAAGGAGAAAUCCGCCAUAGGAUGAGCUUGCGUCCCAUUAGCUAGUUGGCGGGGUAAAUGCCCACCAAGGCUAUGAUGGGUAGCUGGCCUGAGAGGGUGGUCAGCCACACUGGGACUGAGAUACGGCCCAGACUCCUACGGGAGGCAGCAGCUAAGAAUCUUCCUCAAUGGGGGAAACCCUGAAGGAGCGACACUGCGUGCAGGAUGAAGGCCCUUUGGGUUGUAAACUGCUUUUGCAGGGGAGAAAUAACCGAAUGGGAUGAUAGUACUCUGCGAAUAAGUCCCGGCUAACUACGUG